AUGUCACCUCCCAGGACUUGUCCAGGCUCAGGUGAUGAUGCACCAUGCAGAAUCUGGAGCCGACCUCAGAGGCAGACGGAGUUGAGUGAAGUCCCGGGAAGCGCUGCCAAGGAGAGGCCUGCGAGUGAAGCCAGCAUGGGAGAGAUCUGUUAUAUAUCUAUGUGGUCAAAAGGGAAACCAUCCUUCUUUGUCUGAAGUGAAGCAGGAUCUGAAGCAUCUAUCUUGGACAUACCUUUUGCUCUCUGAGCCCAGAAAUGGUCUGACUCAAGAAAGGAAGCUGACUGUGAAAUUUCCUACACAGCCGUGUAGAAUAGGACUCUGCAGUCCAGACUAGGGUUACUCUUGUCAUAGCCAUUAGAACUUUUUAUUCAUGAUAAGUGGUUUUCAGCCUGGCACCUACAUUUUCCAUUGGCUUGAAAUCCUCAUAAGAACUGUGAAGUAAUGGGAAAUUGUGCACUUAAUAUUUGCCUCAUUAUUUAAGAAAGCACUAUGGAAAAGGUGCUUUGAGAGAGAAUUUUCUUGGAAGUUGGGCCUAUUUGUGUCUGGUGAGCUGUUUAAAAAAUAGCGCUAAAGUGAGAUCAAGACUUUAAAAACUAAUAAAAAAUACUACAUGAAGCA
This 618-nucleotide long non-coding RNA is filed under the name Calidris pugnax (ruff). Its description in RNAcentral is "lncRNA (ENSCPUG00000016174.1)". Lineage: Eukaryota; Metazoa; Chordata; Aves; Charadriiformes; Scolopacidae. The record is from RNAcentral.